AUAAUUGCAAAAAAUUACCCUACGCUGAUGCGCGAAAGGGAAUAGGCUUCUCUAUAGCUGUAUUAUAACAGACACAUGAAUGUUCAUAUGAGAUUUUGCAAUGUUUAAUUAAAUCAGUUCAAGAGAACAUACUCUUCCUCCCGAGUCCCGCCUUUACUUGAGGCUGUUUGCUACAUCAAUUACAAAGCGAUAUUUGACGUCCUUCUUUAUUAACCUUUCGAGUGCCUCAUUGACAUACUGAAUGGGGACUACCUCAAUUUCUGGAUAGAUUUUGUGGGAAGCACAGAAAUCCAGCAUUUCUUGUGUCUGCUUUGUUCCACCCGUUACACUCCCAACUAUGCUCUUCAUACCGAGGAUUAGGUUUCCAG
RNAcentral lists this unclassified non-coding RNA (368 nucleotides) under Hevea brasiliensis (rubber tree). Lineage: Eukaryota; Viridiplantae; Streptophyta; Magnoliopsida; Malpighiales; Euphorbiaceae. The record is from RNAcentral.